GGAGGUGUGGCUUAAGUGGCAGAGCACCUGCCUAGCAAGUACAAGAUCCUGAGUUCAACCUCAAUACCUUUG
Molecule: transfer RNA, 72 nt
Filed under: Dipodomys ordii (Ord's kangaroo rat)
Lineage: Eukaryota; Metazoa; Chordata; Mammalia; Rodentia; Heteromyidae
Rfam family: tRNA
About the family: Transfer RNA (tRNA) molecules are approximately 80 nucleotides in length. Their secondary structure includes four short double-helical elements and three loops (D, anti-codon, and T loops). Further hydrogen bonds mediate the characteristic L-shaped molecular structure. tRNAs have two regions of fundamental functional importance: the anti-codon, which is responsible for specific mRNA codon recognition, and the 3' end, to which the tRNAs corresponding amino acid is attached (by aminoacyl-tRNA synthetases). tRNAs cope with the degeneracy of the genetic code in two manners: having more than one tRNA (with a specific anti-codon) for a particular amino acid; and 'wobble' base-pairing, i.e. permitting non-standard base-pairing at the 3rd anti-codon position.
Source: Rfam by way of RNAcentral